This 71-nucleotide transfer RNA is filed under the name Marmota monax (woodchuck). RNAcentral's name for it is "tRNA.Ala". The record is from RNAcentral. Lineage: Eukaryota; Metazoa; Chordata; Mammalia; Rodentia; Sciuridae.
UAGAAUGUACCUCAGUUGGUAGAGUGCUUGCCUUGCAUGCACAAAGUCCUGGGUUCCAUCCCCAGCUCAAA